AGGGGCAUCAGGAAGAAAGCUUGCUUUCUUUGCUGGCGACCGGCGCACGGGUGAGUAACACGUAUCCAACCUGCCCUUUACUCGGGGAUAGCCUUUCGAAAGAAAGAUUAAUACCCGAUAGCAUAAUGAUUCCGCAUGGUUUCAUUAUUAAAGGAUUCCGGUAAAGGAUGGGGAUGCGUUCCAUUAGGUUGUUGGUGAGGUAACGGCUCACCAAGCCUUCGAUGGAUAGGGGUUCUGAGAGGAAGGUCCC
This 250-nucleotide ribosomal RNA is filed under the name uncultured Bacteroides sp. Its description in RNAcentral is "partial 16S ribosomal RNA". It matches the Rfam family "Bacterial small subunit ribosomal RNA", at positions 65 to 307 of the family's 1533-position model. The record is from RNAcentral. Lineage: Bacteria; Pseudomonadati; Bacteroidota; Bacteroidia; Bacteroidales; Bacteroidaceae.